Molecule: ribosomal RNA, 2521 nt
Filed under: Escherichia coli
Lineage: Bacteria; Pseudomonadati; Pseudomonadota; Gammaproteobacteria; Enterobacterales; Enterobacteriaceae
Description: partial 23S ribosomal RNA
Rfam family: Bacterial large subunit ribosomal RNA
Source: RNAcentral
CGGGACACGUGGUAUCCUGUCUGAAUAUGGGGGGACCAUCCUCCAAGGCUAAAUACUCCUGACUGACCGAUAGUGAACCAGUACCGUGAGGGAAAGGCGAAAAGAACCCCGGCGAGGGGAGUGAAAAAGAACCUGAAACCGUGUACGUACAAGCAGUGGGAGCACAGAGCAAUCUGUGUGACUGCGUACCUUUUGUAUAAUGGGUCAGCGACUUAUAUUCUGUAGCAAGGUUAACCGAAUAGGGGAGCCGAAGGGAAACCGAGUCUUAACUGGGCGUUAAGUUGCAGGGUAUAGACCCGAAACCCGGUGAUCUAGCCAUGGGCAGGUUGAAGGUUGGGUAACACUAACUGGAGGACCGAACCGACUAAUGUUGAAAAAUUAGCGGAUGACUUGUGGCUGGGGGUGAAAGGCCAAUCAAACCGGGAGAUAGCUGGUUCUCCCCGAAAGCUAUUUAGGUAGCGCCUCGUGAAUUCAUCUCCGGGGGUAGAGCACUGUUUCGGCAAGGGGGUCAUCCCGACUUACCAACCCGAUGCAAACUGCGAAUACCGGAGAAUGUUAUCACGGGAGACACACGGCGGGUGCUAACGUCCGUCGUGAAGAGGGAAACAACCCAGACCGCCAGCUAAGGUCCCAAAGUCAUGGUUAAGUGGGAAACGAUGUGGGAAGGCCCAGACAGCCAGGAUGUUGGCUUAGAAGCAGCCAUCAUUUAAAGAAAGCGUAAUAGCUCACUGGUCGAGUCGGCCUGCGCGGAAGAUGUAACGGGGCUAAACCAUGCACCGAAGCUGCGGCAGCGACACUAUGUGUUGUUGGGUAGGGGAGCGUUCUGUAAGCCUGUGAAGGUGUACUGUGAGGUAUGCUGGAGGUAUCAGAAGUGCGAAUGCUGACAUAAGUAACGAUAAAGCGGGUGAAAAGCCCGCUCGCCGGAAGACCAAGGGUUCCUGUCCAACGUUAAUCGGGGCAGGGUGAGUCGACCCCUAAGGCGAGGCCGAAAGGCGUAGUCGAUGGGAAACAGGUUAAUAUUCCUGUACUUGGUGUUACUGCGAAGGGGGGACGGAGAAGGCUAUGUUGGCCGGGCGACGGUUGUCCCGGUUUAAGCGUGUAGGCUGGUUUUCCAGGCAAAUCCGGAAAAUCAAGGCUGAGGCGUGAUGACGAGGCACUACGGUGCUGAAGCAACAAAUGCCCUGCUUCCAGGAAAAGCCUCUAAGCAUCAGGUAACAUCAAAUCGUACCCCAAACCGACACAGGUGGUCAGGUAGAGAAUACCAAGGCGCUUGAGAGAACUCGGGUGAAGGAACUAGGCAAAAUGGUGCCGUAACUUCGGGAGAAGGCACGCUGAUAUGUAGGUGAAGCGACUUGCUCGUGGAGCUGAAAUCAGUCGAAGAUACCAGCUGGCUGCAACUGUUUAUUAAAAACACAGCACUGUGCAAACACGAAAGUGGACGUAUACGGUGUGACGCCUGCCCGGUGCCGGAAGGUUAAUUGAUGGGGUUAGCGGUAACGCGAAGCUCUUGAUCGAAGCCCCGGUAAACGGCGGCCGUAACUAUAACGGUCCUAAGGUAGCGAAAUUCCUUGUCGGGUAAGUUCCGACCUGCACGAAUGGCGUAAUGAUGGCCAGGCUGUCUCCACCCGAGACUCAGUGAAAUUGAACUCGCUGUGAAGAUGCAGUGUACCCGCGGCAAGACGGAAAGACCCCGUGAACCUUUACUAUAGCUUGACACUGAACAUUGAGCCUUGAUGUGUAGGAUAGGUGGGAGGCUUAGAAGUGUGGACGCCAGUCUGCAUGGAGCCGACCUUGAAAUACCACCCUUUAAUGUUUGAUGUUCUAACGUUGGCCCCUGAUCGGGGUUGCGGACAGUGUCUGGUGGGUAGUUUGACUGGGGCGGUCUCCUCCUAAAGAGUAACGGAGGAGCACGAAGGUUGGCUAAUCCUGGUCGGACAUCAGGAGGUUAGUGCAAUGGCAUAAGCCAGCUUGACUGCGAGCGUGACGGCGCGAGCAGGUGCGAAAGCAGGUCAUAGUGAUCCGGUGGUUCUGAAUGGAAGGGCCAUCGCUCAACGGAUAAAAGGUACUCCGGGGAUAACAGGCUGAUACCGCCCAAGAGUUCAUAUCGACGGCGGUGUUUGGCACCUCGAUGUCGGCUCAUCACAUCCUGGGGCUGAAGUAGGUCCCAAGGGUAUGGCUGUUCGCCAUUUAAAGUGGUACGCGAGCUGGGUUUAGAACGUCGUGAGACAGUUCGGUCCCUAUCUGCCGUGGGCGCUGGAGAACUGAGGGGGGCUGCUCCUAGUACGAGAGGACCGGAGUGGACGCAUCACUGGUGUUCGGGUUGUCAUGCCAAUGGCACUGCCCGGUAGCUAAAUGCGGAAGAGAUAAGUGCUGAAAGCAUCUAAGCACGAAACUUGCCCCGAGAUGAGUUCUCCCUGACUCCUUGAGAGUCCUGAAGGAACGUUGAAGACGACGACGUUGAUAGGCCGGGUGUGUAAGCGCAGCGAUGCGUUGAGCUAACCGGUACUAAUGAACCGUGAGG